RNAcentral lists this ribosomal RNA (465 nucleotides) under uncultured bacterium. RNAcentral describes it as "SSU rRNA". It matches the Rfam family "Bacterial small subunit ribosomal RNA", at positions 26 to 518 of the family's 1533-position model. The record is from RNAcentral.
AGGAUUAACGCUGGCGGCGUGCCUGACACAUGCAAGUCGAACGAGGCCGCAAGGCCGAGUGGCGGACGGGUGAGUAACACGUGACCAACCAACCUCGAAGUUGGGAAUAGCUCUGCGAAAGUAGGGGUAAUACCGAAUGUGGCCCAGGGCGGGCAUCCGCCUUGGUCUAAAGAUUCAUCGCUUCGAGACGGGGUCGCGGCCUAUUAGCUUGUUGGUGAGGUAACGGCUCACCAAGGCGAUGAUGGGUAGCUGGUCUGAGAGGACGACCAGCCACACUGGGACUGAGACACGGCCCAGACUCCUACGGGAGGCAGCAGUGAGGAAUCUUCCGCAAUGGGCGAAAGCCUGACGGAGCAACGCCGCGUGUGGGGAUGAAGACUCUAGGGUUGUAAACCACUGUCGGAGGGGACGAUCGUGACGGUACCCUCCAAGAAAGCCCCGGCUAACCUACGUGCCAGCAGCCGC